GCUGGGCGUGGUUGUGCACGCCUAUAAUCCCAGCAACUUGGGAGGUUGUGGCAGGAGGAUGGCAAGCUCGAGGCCAGCUUCAGCAAUUU
Molecule: small RNA, 89 nt
Filed under: Marmota monax (woodchuck)
Lineage: Eukaryota; Metazoa; Chordata; Mammalia; Rodentia; Sciuridae
Source: RNAcentral